UGAACACGAGAUGCUACGGCGUCGAAACAGUCUAUGUCAUACUUCCAAGAAAAGCUUGCACUGUCAUAAACAGAUAAUGCCUGUACCAUAACCGACACAGGUGGGUAGGUAGAGUAUACUAAGGGGCGCGAGAUAACUCUCUCUAAGGAACUCGGCAAAAUGACUCCGUAACUUCGGGAGAAGGAGUGCCUUAUUUAUAAGGUUGCAAUAACAAGAUCCAAGCAACUGUUUACCAAAAACGCAGGUCUCCGCUAAGUCGUAAGACGAUGUAUGGGGGCUGACGCCUGCCCAGUGCCAGAAGGUUAAAGAAGUUGGUUAGCAUCCGCGAAGCUGAUAACUGAAGCCCUGGUGAACGGCGGCCGUAACCAUAACGGUCCUAAGGUAGCGAAAUUCCUUGUCGGGUAAGUUCCGACCCGCGCGAAAGGCGUAAUGAUUUGGAUACUGUCUCGGAGAGGGGCUCGGUAAUAGACUUGUCUGUGAAGAUGCGGACUACCUGCACCAGGACAGAAAGACCCUAUGAAGCCUUACUGUAACCUGAAAUUGAAAUUGGACUUUACUUGCGCAGUAUAGGUGGGAGGCGUUGAGAAUAUUCUUGCGGGAUUAUUGGAGCCAUCAGUGAGAUACCACUCUUGUAAUGUUAGAUUUCUAACUUUGUAUCAUUAUCUGGUCAAAGAACAGUUUCAGGCGGGCAGUUUGACUGGGGCGGUCGCCUCCUAAACGGUAACGGAGGCGCACAAAGGUUUCCUCUGAACGGGUAGAAAUCGUAUCUAGAGUGUAAAGGCAUAAGGAAGCUUGACUGUGAGACCUACAAGUCGAGCAGGGACGAAAGUCGGUCUUAGUGAUCUGACGGUGCUGAGUGGAAAGGCCGUCACUCAACGGAUAAAAGUUACUCUAAGGAUAACAGGCUGAUCUCCCCCAAGAGUUCACAUCGACGGGGAGGUUUGGCACCUCGAUGUCGGCUCAUCGCAUCCUGGGGCGGUAGUACGUCCCAAGGGUUGGGCUGUUCGCCCAUGAAAGCGGUACGCGAGCUGGGUUCAGAACGUCGUGAGACAGUUCGGUCCAUAUCCGGUGUAGGCGUUAGAAUAUUGAGAGGAGCCUUCUUUAGUACGAGAGGACCGAGAAGGACAUACCUCUGGUGUACCAGUUAUCGUGCCAACGGUAAACGCUGGGUAGCUAUGUGUGGCGUGGAUAACCGCUGAAAGCAUCUAAGUGGGAAGCCCACCUCAAGAUGAGUACUCCCAUGGGGUUAACCCAGUAAGGUCACGGGAAGACCACCCGUUUAUAGGUUCUAGAUGGAAGUCCAGCAAUGGAUGAAGUCGAGGGAUACUAAUAGACCGAGGGCUUGUC
Molecule: ribosomal RNA, 1347 nt
Filed under: metagenome
Description: bacterial LSU rRNA
Rfam family: Bacterial large subunit ribosomal RNA
Source: RNAcentral